CCUACGGGAGGCAGCAGUCGAGAAUCAUUCACAAUGGGGGAAACCCUGAUGGUGCGACGCCGCGUGGGGGAAUGAAGGUCUUCGGAUUGUAAACCCCUGUCAUGUGGGAGCAAAUUAAAAAGAUAGUACCACAAGAGGAAGAGACGGCUAACUCUGUGCCAGCAGCCGCGGUAAUACAGAGGUCUCAAGCGUUGUUCGGAAUCACUGGGCGUAAAGCGUGCGUAGGCUGUUUCGUAAGUCGUGUGUGAAAGGCGCGGGCUCAACCCGCGGACGGCACAUGAUACUGCGAGACUAGAGUAAGGGAGGGGGAACCGGAAUUCUCGGUGAAGCAGUGAAAUGCGUAGAUAUCGAGAGGAACACUCGUGGCGAAGGCGGGUUCCUGGACAUUAACUGACGCUGAGGCACGAAGGCCAGGGGAGCGAAAGGGAUUAGAUACCCUUGUAGUC
Molecule: ribosomal RNA, 446 nt
Filed under: uncultured bacterium
Lineage: Bacteria
Description: partial 16S ribosomal RNA
Rfam family: Bacterial small subunit ribosomal RNA
Source: RNAcentral